AGUGAAACUGCGAAUGGCUCAUUAAAACAGUUAUAGUUUAUUUGAUAAUUAAAUUCUACAUGGAUAACCGUAGUAAUUCUAGAGCUAAUACAUGCUGCAAGACCUGACUUUUGGAAAGGUUGUAUUUAUUAGAUCUCAAACCAAUAUUCCUUCGGGUUUAUUGUGAUGAUUCAUAAUAACUGAUCGGAUCGAGGCUAGCCCUCGAUAAAUCAUUCAAGUUUCUGCCCUAUCAGUUUUCGUUGGUAGUGUAUUGGACUACCAAGACAGUCACGGGUAACGGGGAAUUAGGGUUCGAUUCCGGAGAGGGAGCCUGAGAAACGGCUACCACAUCUAAGGAUGGCAGCAGGCGCGUAAAUUACCCAAUCCUGAUUCAGGGAGGUAGUGACAAGAAAUAACAACUCGGGGG
RNAcentral lists this ribosomal RNA (406 nucleotides) under uncultured eukaryote. RNAcentral's name for it is "SSU rRNA". It matches the Rfam family "Eukaryotic small subunit ribosomal RNA", at positions 80 to 491 of the family's 1831-position model. The record is from RNAcentral.